UACGACUACAUAUCAGGCAUAUCAAUAAGCGGAGGAAAAGAAACUAACAAGGAUUCCCUUAGUAACGGCGAGUGAAGCGGGAAGAGCUCAAAUUUGAAAUCUUCAAGGUUUUACCUUGACGAAUUGUAGUUUAAAGAAGUGUUUUCUGUUGAAGUUUUGGUAAAAGUUCUUUGGAAUAGGACAUCAUAGAGGGUGAGAAUCCCGUAUUUGACCAUUAUUUUCCAGCUUUGUGAUACACUUUCAAAGAGUCGGAUUGUUUGGGAAUGCAGUCCAAAAUGGGUGGUAAAUUUCAUCUAAAGCUAAAUAUUGGCGAGAGACCGAUAGCGAACAAGUACCGUGAGGGAAAGAUGAAAAGAACUUUGAAAAGAGAGUUAAACAGUACGUGAAAUUGUCAAAAGGGAAGCGUUUGACACCAGUGUUGUUUUCUCGAAGAUCAAUUAAAAAUAGGUGGAUUUUGUAUGUUGUAUUGACCUUAACAGCUCAUGCUUACACUCUUUUCCGGUCUUUUUUAAUGCACUUUUCGUUUAACAAGUCAACAUCAGUUUCUUUUGUUGUAAAAGGGUCAUUGGAAGGUGGCUUUCUCUUCGGAGAAAGUGUUUAUAGCCUUUGAUCUCUGCAAUCGGAGAGACUGAGGUCUGCAGCGUAGAUCCUUCGGGGUUAGAUACAUUUGUGCUAAGCUACAGCUUUUCAUAGACAACUUGUUGACUAUGUUUAGUCUUGUGACUUACCCGCUUAUGCUAUUUUACCUACGCUUAGGAUGUUGAGCGCAUGUCUCUCUCU
Molecule: ribosomal RNA, 780 nt
Filed under: uncultured Neocallimastigales
Lineage: Eukaryota; Fungi; Neocallimastigomycota; Neocallimastigomycetes; Neocallimastigales
Description: partial large subunit ribosomal RNA
Rfam family: Eukaryotic large subunit ribosomal RNA
Source: RNAcentral